UUCGCAAUGCCCGAAAGGGUGACGAAGCGACGCCGCGUGCGGGAAGAAGGCCUUCGGGUUGUAAACCGCUGUCGGGAGUUAAGAAAUGUAAGGAUGUUAAUAGCAUCUUUGCUUGACUAAGGCUCCGGAGGAAGCCACGGCUAACUCUGUGCCAGCAGCCGCGGUAAUACAGAGGCGGCAAGCGUUGUUCGGAAUUAUUGGGCGUAAAGAGCACGUAGGCGGCUAUGUAAGUCGGUUGUGAAAGCCUUCCGCUCAACGGGAGAACAGCAUCCGAUACUGCAUGGCUUGAGUGCGGGAGGGGAGAGUGGAACUUCUGGUGGAGCGGUGAAAUGCGUAGAUAUCAGAAGGAACGCCGGCGGCGAAAGCGGCUCUCUGGCCCAUAACUGACGCUGAGUGUGCGAAAGCUAGGGGAGCGAACGGGAUUAGAUACCCCGGUAGUCCUAGCCGUAAACGAUGGGCACUAAGUAGAGGGGUUUU
RNAcentral lists this ribosomal RNA (477 nucleotides) under uncultured bacterium. RNAcentral describes it as "bacterial SSU rRNA". It matches the Rfam family "Bacterial small subunit ribosomal RNA", at positions 365 to 832 of the family's 1533-position model. The record is from RNAcentral.